RNAcentral lists this ribosomal RNA (309 nucleotides) under uncultured eukaryote. RNAcentral describes it as "partial 18S ribosomal RNA". It matches the Rfam family "Eukaryotic small subunit ribosomal RNA", at positions 1470 to 1796 of the family's 1831-position model. The record is from RNAcentral.
CCCUUAGAUGUUCUGGGCGGCCCGCGCACUACAUUGGCACUCUCAAUAAGUUCCUAGAUCUAAAACUUUGGGGUAUUCUAUUAAGUGGUGUCGUGACUGGGAUUAACCCUUGCAAUUAUUGGUUACGAACGAGGAAUUCCUUGUAAUCGCGGUUUAUCAGCCCGCGUUGAAUGCGUCCCUGCCCUUUGUACACACCGCCCGUCGCUCCUACCGAUGAAUCGUCCGGUGAAGUUCAUAGAGUGGUGGUUGUUCCAGCUGCUGUCGAAGUGAAAUGGACCUCACGAUUUAGAGGAAGGAGAAGUCGUAACA